This is a long non-coding RNA of Passer domesticus (house sparrow), 913 nucleotides long. RefSeq lists it as uncharacterized. Lineage: Eukaryota; Metazoa; Chordata; Aves; Passeriformes; Passeridae. The record is from RefSeq and is a predicted model, not a curated record. The transcript is spliced from 3 exons.
CUGAGUUUCUAGAACUAGGAGGAGGAUUGAUAUUUGGAAAAAUACAAAUGCAGACUCAAAAUACCUAUACAACAAUAAAAUGUAUGUGAAUUGAAUUGAUGUGAAUUGAAUUAAACAAUGUGAAUGUAUGUGAAUUACUCAACUUUUGUAUUUCUUGAGAAACCCUUCAUCUUUUGUGAUUGACAUACUGUGAGAUUUUUGAAGGACCUGACUGUAGUUUGACUUUCAGUUUUGCAUUAUAGUCAGCCUGCCCACAAGUGGAAGUGGGCAAUGCCACAUAGAAGGAGGAACUAGAAGAGCUAAGAAACUGGACUGUGUUUUUGGAGCAGACCACAGAGGGGCAGGGCAAAGCCAGCUCUCUGAACUGAGGAGAUUUUAUUACCUGUCUGCAGUAGACCUGUCUUCCCAUCACUGAGCCUGAAGUAUUUCUGUAUAUCCAACAGGAUCCCUGCAACAGAGGCAGACAUUGAAUGACAGCAAAGCACCCUGCUAAUCCUGGAGCUCAUCUGCAGCAGAAGGGAGUGGGUGAAAUCAGCAAGAGGCACCUCUUCUCCCACACUGUGCUUUACACUUUGUGCCAGGAACUACACUGCUCCAGCCACUUAAAAGCAGUGUGGGACCAGCUAAUUUAAAGAAAUCACACGACUGCCAGCAGCUCACAAGGAAGUGAAGCCUCCCCUAAGGAUAACACCCCUAACAUGGAUAACAAGGUUAUCACAAAGAUCACAUGGUUUUUGAACUUGUAAUGGAGGGAAUAGCAUCAGUAUUCUUCAGACAGAGGAAUAACAUAUAGAAUCUACUAAAGAAGGCCUUGUAAACAAACUGUUGUGGACAGUAAAGAGAAGCUCCUUACUCACACCUCUGCAGAAUCCAGCCACAAAAAUGGACCAGUUGCCCUGUAUGCUAAAGUCUG